UAAUUGGGCGUUAAGUUGCAGGGUAUAGACCCGAAACCCGGUGAUCUAGCCAUGGGCAGGUUGAAGGUUGGGUAACACUAACUGGAGGACCGAACCGACUAAUGUUGAAAAAUUAGCGGAUGACCUGUGGCUGGGGGUGAAAGGCCAAUCAAACCGGGAGAUAGCUGGUUCUCCCCGAAAGCUAUUUAGGUAGCGCCUCGUGAAUUCAUCUCCGGGGGUAGAGCACUGUUUCGGCUAGGGGGCCAUCCCGGCUUACCAACCCGAUGCAAACUGCGAAUACCGGAGAAUGUUAUCACGGGAGACACACGGCGGGUGCUAACGUCCGUCGUGAAGAGGGAAACAACCCAGACCGCCAGCUAAGGUCCCAAAGUCAUGGUUAAGUGGGAAACGAUGUGGGAAGGCCCAGACAGCCAGGAUGUUGGCUUAGAAGCAGCCAUCAUUUAAAGAAAGCGUAAUAGCUCACUGGUCGAGUCGGCCUGCGCGGAAGAUGUAACGGGGCUAAACCAUGCACCGAAGCUGCGGCAGCGACACUCAGGUGUUGUUGGGUAGGGGAGCGUUCUGUAAGCCUGCGAAGGUGGCCUGUGAGGGUUGCUGGAGGUAUCAGAAGUGCGAAUGCUGACAUAAGUAACGAUAAAGCGGGUGAAAAGCCCGCUCGCCGGAAGACCAAGGGUUCCUGUCCAACGUUAAUCGGGGCAGGGUGAGUCGACCCCUAAGGCGAGGCCGAAAGGCGUAGUCGAUGGGAAACGGGUUAAUAUUCCCGUACUUGGUGUUACUGCGAAGGGGGGACGGAGAAGGCUAUGUUGGCCGGGCGACGGUUGUCCCGGUUUAAGCGUGUAGGUGUGUGUUCCAGGUAAAUCCGGUUCACUUUAACACUGAGGCGUGAUGACGAGGCACUACGGUGCUGAAGCAACAAAUGCCCUGCUUCCAGGAAAAGCCUCUAAGCAUCAGGUAACAUCAAAUCGUACCCCAAACCGACACAGGUGGUCAGGUAGAGAAUACCAAGGCGCUUGAGAGAACUCGGGUGAAGGAACUAGGCAAAAUGGUGCCGUAACU
This 1053-nucleotide ribosomal RNA is filed under the name Salmonella enterica subsp. enterica serovar Infantis. RNAcentral describes it as "partial 23S ribosomal RNA". It matches the Rfam family "Bacterial large subunit ribosomal RNA", at positions 685 to 1735 of the family's 2925-position model. The record is from RNAcentral. Lineage: Bacteria; Pseudomonadati; Pseudomonadota; Gammaproteobacteria; Enterobacterales; Enterobacteriaceae.